Molecule: non-coding RNA, 603 nt
Organism: Podarcis muralis (Common wall lizard)
Lineage: Eukaryota; Metazoa; Chordata; Lepidosauria; Squamata; Lacertidae
Source: RefSeq, a predicted model, not a curated record
GGGCGUGCAGAGUGCAGCUGGUGUCCCUGGCGGAGGCAGAGGCAGGAGGGCCAUGGAGCCAGGCUUUGAGAUCCCCUCGGAGGGGAAGGGGCCACCUUCCAAAGGCCCUGCAACUCCCGCCAGCCUCUGCCAGCCUGGUCCACACUGGGGGGGGGGGCAGACUUCCCAGCAUGCAUUGCCAGCUCUGCCAGGCCAAUGGUCGAUUCCCAGCCUCAAUAAAUUUGAAAUUUGCUGGUUUUUCCAGUGUAUAACCAAAUCAAUCAAUCUCAAGCGGUCACCCUCAGGGGAAACAGGUGUCCCCCCCCCCUUGGAGGAAAUGGACUGAUCGGAACCUGGCUGUGACAUCGGCUCAGAAUCCCAGCCUCACUUUGCAGUUGAGGCCAACAGCCUUUUGGUGGUUUCUCUGCAAGUGAAUCAGGAAAAACUCUUAUUGGACGCCGAGAAAGCAAAGUCUGAAGACUGAUGUCUGGGGAAAUGCAGUCAGCCAUUGAGGAGGACAUUCUCAAUGUCAAGGAGGACGAAGGAAAAGGCGAGGAGGAGACCGCAAAACGGCUGGAUCUCCUCAGCCCUGACUGGGUAGGUGGCCGUGGCCUAAGUGGUGAU